GGGCAAAUGGUCUAGGGGUAUGAUUUUCCCUUCGCAUUACACCACUAUGUGACUGGGAAAGGUCCGGGGUUCAAAUCCCCGUUUGUCCA
Molecule: transfer RNA, 89 nt
Filed under: Cladophialophora carrionii
Lineage: Eukaryota; Fungi; Ascomycota; Eurotiomycetes; Chaetothyriales; Herpotrichiellaceae
Description: tRNA-Ala
Rfam family: tRNA
About the family: Transfer RNA (tRNA) molecules are approximately 80 nucleotides in length.
Source: RNAcentral